UCUUACGUUUAUUUUAGGUUUCAAUUUGGUCUCUUAUGUUUAAAAAGUAUCAAUUUGGUCUCUUACGUUUAUUUUAGGUUUCAAGUUAGUCCUUUCCGUCAAUUUUGUCACAUAUGGCAGUCAAUUUGCAUAUGUGGACAGACACGUGGCACUUGUACACGCUGACACGUGUACUGUUCAAACGGUGUUAGUGACAAAACUAACGGAAAAGAUGAUAAGUGCCAAAAAGUGGUAAUUUUACAUAUAUAUUUUGGGCACUUAUUGACUUGUUUUAAAAGUAAUUUCAUAUAAAAAAACCAACUAAUUGUAAAUAUUAGUUUUAAUUAACAAAUUAGUCAUUUAUUUAUGUUAUUUCUACCUAAUUCCAACACAUUUUUGUAGGUUUUAUGAGCUUAAUGGAAAAAUAGAAGCAAUGAGACCUAUUGGAGACUAAGAAAAAUUGUCAUUGGACCAAAAUUAUGAAGAGGCACAANNN
RNAcentral lists this long non-coding RNA (475 nucleotides) under Trifolium pratense (red clover). RNAcentral's name for it is "long non-coding RNA (TPRA_LNC003119)". The record is from RNAcentral. Lineage: Eukaryota; Viridiplantae; Streptophyta; Magnoliopsida; Fabales; Fabaceae.